RNAcentral lists this ribosomal RNA (443 nucleotides) under uncultured bacterium. RNAcentral's name for it is "SSU rRNA". It matches the Rfam family "Bacterial small subunit ribosomal RNA", at positions 26 to 518 of the family's 1533-position model. The record is from RNAcentral.
AGGAUGAACGCUGGCGGCGUGCCUAAGACAUGCAAGUCGAGUGGGUUUAGGCCCACGGCGAACGGGUGAGUAAUACCUAGGAACUUUCUUUAAGUGGAGCAUAACCCAUAGAAAUGUGGGAUAAUACUUCAUGUGGCAGUAAUGCUAAAGUCGCAAGACGCUUAAAGUGAGGCCUGGGCACCAUCAGCUAGUUGGUAAGGUAAUGGCUUACCAAGGCUAUGACGGUUAGGGGCCCCGAGAGGGGAAACCCCCACACUGGAACUGCGACACGGUCCAGACUCCUACGGGAGGCAGCAGUUUGGAAUUUUGGACAAUGGGCGCAAGCCUGAUCCAGCCAUGCCGCGUGGAUGAUGAAGGCCUUAGGGUUGUAAAGUCCUUUUAACGGGGAAGAUAAUGACGGUACCCGUAGAAUAAGCCCCGGCUAACUUCGUGCCAGCAGCCGC